UACAGAGGGGGCAAGCGUUAUUCGGAAUUACUGGGCGUAAAGCGCACGUAGGCGGCUUUGUAAGUUAGAGGUGAAAGCCCGGGGCUCAACUCCGGAAUUGCCUUUAAGACUGCAUCGCUAGAAUUGUGGAGAGGUAAGUGGAAUUCCGAGUGUAGAGGUGAAAUUCGUAGAUAUUCGGAAGAACACCGGUGGCGAAGGCGGGUCUCUGGGCAGUAACUGACGCUGAGGAGCGAAAGCGUGGGUAGCGAACAGG
This 253-nucleotide ribosomal RNA is filed under the name uncultured bacterium. RNAcentral describes it as "partial 16S ribosomal RNA". It matches the Rfam family "Bacterial small subunit ribosomal RNA", at positions 524 to 776 of the family's 1533-position model. The record is from RNAcentral.